GACGAACGCUGGCGGGGUGUUCAACCCUGGGAAGCUGAACGGAAAGCCCCCGUUUUUGUGGGAUCUCCAGGUGCCGAACGGGGAAGCAACACAGGGGCAACUCCCCUUGGAGUUUGGGUUAACUUACGGAAACGGGGGCUAAUACCGGACAGGGGCUCCGCCUCCAGGGUGGGGGUGGGAAAGUUUCGGCGGUUGGGGAUGGACUCCCGGCUUAUCAGCUUGUUGGUGGGGUGGUGGCUUACCAAGGCUUUGACGGGUAGCCGGCCUGAGAGGGUGACCGGCCACAUUGGGACUGAGAUACGGCCCAGACUCCUACGGGAGGCAGCAGUGGGGAAUAUUGCACAAUGGGCGGAAGCCUGAUGCAGCAACGCCGCGUGCGGGAUGACGGCCUUCGGGUUGUAAACCGCUUUCGCCUGUGACGAAGCGUGAGUGACGGUAAUGGGUAAAGAAGCACCGGCUAACUACGUG
Molecule: ribosomal RNA, 468 nt
Filed under: uncultured bacterium
Lineage: Bacteria
Description: partial 16S ribosomal RNA
Rfam family: Bacterial small subunit ribosomal RNA
Source: RNAcentral